This is a long non-coding RNA of Mangifera indica (mango), 1417 nucleotides long. RefSeq lists it as uncharacterized. The transcript has 4 exons. Lineage: Eukaryota; Viridiplantae; Streptophyta; Magnoliopsida; Sapindales; Anacardiaceae. The record is from RefSeq and is a predicted model, not a curated record.
UUAAUUUCUUAAUUUCAUAUAUUUGCAUUUACUCAGUCAAUUUUUUAUGGGUUUCUUUUGGAUUAUUGGUUUGCCCUUGAUUUCAUUUAUAGUUAAUUUAUUAUGCGUGUUAUUUGAAUAUUGCAUUUGAGUAGAUUCAAGAGCUUUUUUUUGUUAUUUUUAAUUGUGUGACUUAGUAUUAGGUAUAUCUAUCAGUAAUCAUGGGCUAGAAUUGUUUGUUUGAUGUCAGUAUUUCUAUCAAAUUUCAAAGUGUUGGAUGUAGUUUUGAUAUUUGAUGAAAUGCCUGAAAGAGAGAAAUUACGUUACUUUUGAUAUUGGCAGUGAAACCUUCGGCGGAAUAAGUUGUUAAAAUUGGUACCAUUCUCGCAAAUUUGCGAUUUUGAGUUGAAAGAAGGAAUUUUUACUAAUUAUGAAGUUGCUCAGUGCCACAUUUCUGUGGAAAGUGACUGUGUAUCUUGUUUCGACAGAUUGAAGGGUUGUGCAGUCCCAGUUUCAGUGUCAAAUCUGCUUAGCGGGUCAUGGAUUUUUGUGGGGGUUAUUAGAUCAAAGAAGAAAAUAUUUUCUGACGCCAGUGGCAUGAGAAGAAGAAAAGAACAUAAAUGAUAUUAGAGGCAAAGAUUGGAAAUGAGUUCUGAAAUUUGGCAAGCUGUUAAGGUGCAUCACCACCUUAUCAAAGCUGUUGGGAAAGAUAUAGGGAACAAAGUCUACAAGAGGCAUUUAAGGGAAUACAGAUAACACAAGAGUUUUGGAAGGACAGAAACUUGUCCGAUCCUUCAUCUAUACAACAAAAGAUCAGACUUGCCCAUGAUUAUACUUUUCUUCUCAGCAGUGUGUGCCAUCAUAAGACAUGGCUCUCUUCAUUGGACCUAUUGUUCUCCUACAACAUUGCCGUGGAUAAAUCAGAUCGAAUAAAAAGAUUACUUGGGAAUUAAAUCUGCUGCUAGUGUGGGCCUUCGACUUCCUGAGCCUUAUCAGCCUUGAUGCUUUUCUAUCAACCAUAGGGAUUUGUUGAUCCAUUUUAAUUUUCACCUAAGAAGGCCUGCUGCUGUUGCCUGAACCAGUUGCUGGCCGUAAUAUUUGCCACAGUAAUAAAAUUAUAGUUGCUUGAACUUGAGGAAGAGUAUGUUAUUUCUAAUAUGGAAAGUGCAGCUGACUGUGCACCCCUCCUACCUGGCAUUGGGUGCUCCCCUUAGAACACAAAAUAAAAAUAUACAUAUGUGGCGCUGUGUGGACUCAAACCGAAGACCUUUAGUGUGUUUCACUGAUGUGAUAACCAACUACACCUAGACACCAUGUUUAUUAUUUUGCAUCCUCAUUUUGUGAUUCCUGCACGGCACAUUUUACUGUGUUGGAAAUUUGAGCAAAUCCUUGAUUGAUUUUAAUAUUUAGUUCCCAACUGCAAGCUCAUUAUACGGUC